GCAGUCGAACGGAGCUGAGAGGAGCUUGCUUUUCUUAGCUUAGUGGCGAACGGGUGAGUAACGCGUGAGUAACCUGCCCUGGAGUGGGGGACAACAGUUGGAAACGACUGCUAAUACCGCAUAAGCCCACGGCCCGGCAUCGGGCUGAGGGAAAAGGAUUUAUUCGCUUCAGGAUGGACUCGCGUCCAAUUAGCUAGUUGGUGAGGUAACGGCCCACCAAGGCGACGAUUGGUAGCCGGACUGAGAGGUUGAACGGCCACAUUGGGACUGAGACACGGCCCAGACUCCUACGGGAGGCAGCAGUGGGGGAUAUUGCACAAUGGGGGAAACCCUGAUGCAGCGACGCCGCGUGGAGGAAGAAGGUUUUCGGAUUGUAAACUCCUGUCGUUAGGGACGAUAAUGACGGUACCUAACAAGAAAGCACCGGCUAACUACGUGCCAGCAGCCGCGGUAAAACGUAGGGUGCAAGCGUUGUCCGGAAUUACUGGGUGUAAAGGGAGCGCAGGCGGACCGGCAAGUUGGAAGUGAAAACUAUGGGCUCAACCCAUAAAUUGCUUUCAAAACUGCUGGCCUUGAGUAGUGCAGAGGUAGGUGGAAUUCCCGGUGUAGCGGUGGAAUGCGUAGAUAUCGGGAGGAACACCAGUGGCGAAGGCGACCUACUGGGCACCAACUGACGCUGAGGCUCGAAAGCAUGGGUAGCAAACAGGAUUAGAUACCCUGGUAGUCCAUGCCGUAAACGAUGAUUACUAGGUGUUGGAGGAUUGACCCCUUCAGUGCCGCAGUUAACACAAUAAGUAAUCCACCUGGGGAGUACGACCACAAGGUUGAAACUCAAAGGAAUUGACGGGGGCCCGC
This 855-nucleotide ribosomal RNA is filed under the name uncultured bacterium. RNAcentral describes it as "bacterial SSU rRNA". It matches the Rfam family "Bacterial small subunit ribosomal RNA", at positions 57 to 924 of the family's 1533-position model. The record is from RNAcentral.